Molecule: ribosomal RNA, 1738 nt
Filed under: Plenodomus biglobosus/Leptosphaeria biglobosa 'thlaspii' group
Lineage: Eukaryota; Fungi; Ascomycota; Dothideomycetes; Pleosporales; Leptosphaeriaceae
Description: SSU rRNA
Rfam family: Eukaryotic small subunit ribosomal RNA
Source: RNAcentral
CCUAGUUGAUUCUGCUAGUAGUUAUAUACUUAUCUUAAAGAUUAAGCUAUGCAUGUCUAAGUAUAAGCAAUUAUACCGUGAAACUAUAAAUAGCUUAUUAAAUCAGUUAUCGUUUAUUUAAUAGUACCUUACUACUUAGAUAACUGUGGUAAUUCUAGAGCUAAUACAUGCUAAAAACCCUAACUUUGAAAGGGGUGUAUUUAUUAGAUAAAAAACCAACGCCCUUUAGGGCUUCUUAGUAAUUCAUAAUAACUUUACAGAUUACAUGGCCUUGCGCUAGUAACAGUUCAUUUAAAUUUCUGCCCUAUUAACUUUUAAUAGUAAGGUAUUAGCUUACUAUAGUUUUAACAGGUAACAGGGAAUUAGGGUUUAAUUCUAGAGAGGGAGCCUAAGAAAUAGCUACUAUAUCUAAGGAAGGUAGCAGGCGCGCAAAUUACCUAAUCCUAAUAUAGGGAGGUAGUAACAAUAAAUACUAAUAUAGGGCUCUUUUAGGUCUUAUAAUUAGAAUGAGUACAAUUUAAACCUCUUAACAAGGAACAAUUAGAGGGCAAGUCUAGUGCUAGCAGCUGUAGUAAUUCCAGCUUUAAUAGCGUAUAUUAAAGUUGUUACAGUUAAAAAGCUUAUAGUUAAAACUUAGGUCUAGCUAGUAGGUCCGCCUUACUGCGUGUACUUGUCCAGCUAGGCCUUCCUUCUAGAGAACCUCAUGCCCUUUACUAGGCGUGUUAGGGACUAGGACUUUUACUUUAAAAAAAUUAGAGUAUUUAAAGCAGGCCUUUACUUAAAUACGUUAGUAUAGAAUAAUAGAAUAGGACGUAUAGUCCUAUUUUAUUAGUUUCUAGGACUACUAUNNNNNNNNNNNNNNNNNNNNGACUAACUACUGCAAAAGCAUUUACUAAGGAUGUUUUCAUUAAUUAGUAAAUAAAAGUUAGGGGAUUAAAGACAAUUAGAUACCGUCGUAGUCUUAACUAUAAACUAUGCUAACUAGGGAUUAGGCGAUGUUCUUUUUCUAACUCGCUCAGCACCUUACGAGAAAUUAAAGUUUUUAGGUUCUAGGGGGAGUAUAGUUAUAAGGCUAAAACUUAAAGAAAUUAACAGAAGGGCACUACUAGGCGUAGAGCCUACAGCUUAAUUUAACUUAACACGGGGAAACUUACUAGGUCUAGAUAAAAUAAGGAUUAACAGAUUAAGAGCUCUUUCUUAAUUUUUCAGGUGGUAGUACAUAGCUGUUCUUAGUUAGUAGAGUAAUUUGUCUGCUUAAUUAUAAUAACAAACAAGACCUUAACCUACUAAAUAGCCAGGCUAGCUUUAGCUAGUUGCUAGCUUCUUAGAGGGACUAUCAGCUUAAGCUAAUAGAAGUUUAAGGCAAUAACAGGUCUGUAAUGCCCUUAGAUAUUCUAGGCCGCACGCGCGCUACACUAACAGAGCUAACAAGUUCUUUACCUUAACUAAAAGGUCUAGGUAAUCUUGUUAAACUCUAUCGUGCUAGGGAUAGAGCAUUGCAAUUAUUACUCUUUAACAAGGAAUGCCUAGUAAGCGCGUGUUAUUAGCAUGCGUUAAUUACGUCCCUGCCCUUUAUACACACUGCCCGUUACUACUACUAAUUAAAUAGCUUAGUAAGGCCUUUAGACUAGCUUAGGGAGGUUAGCAAUAACUAUCCUAAGCUAGAAAGUUUAUUAAACUUAGUUAUUUAGAGGAAGUAAAAGUCGUAAUAAGGUUUCCGUAGGUAAACCUGCAGAAG